RNAcentral lists this ribosomal RNA (497 nucleotides) under uncultured bacterium. RNAcentral's name for it is "partial 16S ribosomal RNA". It matches the Rfam family "Bacterial small subunit ribosomal RNA", at positions 28 to 507 of the family's 1533-position model. The record is from RNAcentral.
GAUGAACGCUGGCGGCGUGCCUAAUACAUGCAAGUCGAGCGAACGGACGAGAAGCUUGCUUCUCUGAUGUUAGCGGCGGACGGGUGAGUAACACGUGGAUAACCUACCUAUAAGACUGGGAUAACUUCGGGAAACCGGAGCUAAUACCGGAUAAUAUUUUGAACCGCAUGGUUCAAAAGUGAAAGACGGUCUUGCUGUCACUUAUAGAUGGAUCCGCGCUGCAUUAGCUAGUUGGUAAGGUAACGGCUUACCAAGGCAACGAUGCAUAGCCGACCUGAGAGGGUGAUCAGCCACACUGGAACUGAGACACGGUCCAGACUCCUACGGGAGGCAGCAGUAGGGAAUCUUCCGCAAUGGGCGAAAGCCUGACGAAGCAACGCCGCGUGAGUGAUGAAGGUCUUCGGAUCGUAAAACUCUGUUAGUAGGGAAGAACAUAUGUGUAAGUAACUGUGCACAUCUUGACGGUACCUAAUCAGAAAGCCACGGCUAACUACGUG